Molecule: ribosomal RNA, 497 nt
Filed under: uncultured bacterium
Lineage: Bacteria
Description: partial 16S ribosomal RNA
Rfam family: Bacterial small subunit ribosomal RNA
Source: RNAcentral
GAUGAACGCUGGCGGCGUGCCUAAUACAUGCAAGUCGAGCGAACAGACGAGAAGCUUGCUUCUUUGAUGUUAGCGGCGGACGGGUGAGUAACACGUAGAUAACCUACCUAUAAGACUGGGAUAACUUCGGGAAACCGGAGCUAAUACCGGAUAAUAUUUUGAACCGCAUGGUUCAAUAGUGAAAGACGGCUUUGCUGUCACUUAUAGAUGGAUCUGCGCUGUAUUAGCUAGUUGGUAAGGUAACGGCUUACCAAGGCAACGAUGCAUAGCCGACCUGAGAGGGUGAUCGGCCACACUGGAACUGAGACACGGUCCAGACUCCUACGGGAGGCAGCAGUAGGGAAUCUUCCGCAAUGGGCGAAAGCCUGACGGAGCAACGCCGCGUGAGUGAUGAAGGUCUUCGGAUCGUAAAACUCUGUUAUUAGGGAAGAACAUAUGUGUAAGUAACUGUGCACAUCUUGACGGUACCUAAUCAGAAAGCCACGGCUAACUACGUG